UCCAGACUCCUACGGGAGGCAGCAGUGAGGAAUAUUGGUCAAUGGGCGCGAGCCUGAACCAGCCAAGUCGCGUGAGGGAUGACGGCCCUACGGGUUGUAAACCUCUUUUGUCGGGGAGCAAAGAGAGUCACGUGUGGCUCAUUGAGAGUACCCGAAGAAAAAGCAUCGGCUAACUCCGUGCCAGCAGCCGCGGUAAUACGGAGGAUGCGAGCGUUAUCCGGAUUUAUUGGGUUUAAAGGGUGCGCAGGCGGGAGAUCAAGUCAGCGGUAAAAUGUCGGGGCUCAACCCCGGCCGGCCGUUGAAACUGGUUUUCUAGAGUUGGAGAGAAGUAUGCGGAAUUCGUGGUGUAGCGGUGAAAUGCAUAGAUAUCACGAAGAACUCCGAUUGCGAAGGCAGCAUACCGGCUCCAUACUGACGCUGAGGCACGAAAGCGUGGGGAUCGAACAGGAUUAGAUACCCCUGUAU
This 465-nucleotide ribosomal RNA is filed under the name uncultured bacterium. RNAcentral's name for it is "bacterial SSU rRNA". It matches the Rfam family "Bacterial small subunit ribosomal RNA", at positions 330 to 793 of the family's 1533-position model. The record is from RNAcentral.